RNAcentral lists this ribosomal RNA (395 nucleotides) under uncultured bacterium. RNAcentral's name for it is "bacterial SSU rRNA". It matches the Rfam family "Bacterial small subunit ribosomal RNA", at positions 997 to 1393 of the family's 1533-position model. The record is from RNAcentral.
ACUCCAGAGAUGGAGCGUUCCCUUCGGGGACAAGGUGACAGGUGGUGCAUGGUUGUCGUCAGCUCGUGUCGUGAGAUGUUGGGUUAAGUCCCGCAACGAGCGCAACCCUUAUUACUAGUUGCCAGCAUUUAGUUGGGCACUCUAGUGAGACUGCCGGUGACAAACCGGAGGAAGGUGGGGAUGACGUCAAAUCAUCAUGCCCCUUAUGACCUGGGCUACACACGUGCUACAAUGGCGUAUACAACGAGUUGCCAACCCGCGAGGGUGAGCUAAUCUCUUAAAGUACGUCUCAGUUCGGAUUGUAGGCUGCAACUCGCCUACAUGAAGUCGGAAUCGCUAGUAAUCGCGGAUCAGCACGCCGCGGUGAAUACGUUCCCGGGUCUUGUACACACCGA